ACACAGGUGGUCGGGUAGAGAAUACCAAGGCGCUUGAGAGAACUCGGGUGAAGGAACUAGGCAAAAUGGUACCGUAACUUCGGGAGAAGGUACGCUCUUGAUGGUGAAGUCCCUCGCGGAUGGAGCUAUUGAGAGUCGCAGAUACCAGGUGGCUGCAACUGUUUAUUAAAAACACAGCACUGUGCAAAAUCGUAAGAUGACGUAUACGGUGUGACGCAUGACCGG
RNAcentral lists this ribosomal RNA (225 nucleotides) under Vibrio parahaemolyticus. Its description in RNAcentral is "partial 23S ribosomal RNA". It matches the Rfam family "Bacterial large subunit ribosomal RNA", at positions 1657 to 1866 of the family's 2925-position model. Lineage: Bacteria; Pseudomonadati; Pseudomonadota; Gammaproteobacteria; Vibrionales; Vibrionaceae. The record is from RNAcentral.